GGGAGAGCAUAAAUGGAGAUGAGACUCUGUUCACACUCUUUCCUGAUAUCCCUGUGUUUUCAAAGAGAAAACUGUGUCAAAACCAGGGAAGGGGAGGGGGGAGGUGAAAAAGGACAUUUUCCAAGAACUCCAGGCCUACAGUCCUUAGUGCAACAGUACCUGUUGUUUACAAAGAUUCAUCUGCCUCUGUCCUGCAUUUCCCUCCGUGGACACCAGGGCACUGUCUGAUCAUCUGGUCUUCUCAGUCCCCGGCAAAGUUCACGGACC
Molecule: long non-coding RNA, 267 nt
Filed under: Pan troglodytes (chimpanzee)
Lineage: Eukaryota; Metazoa; Chordata; Mammalia; Primates; Hominidae
Description: long non-coding RNA NONPTRT017154
Source: RNAcentral